Long non-coding RNA from Herpailurus yagouaroundi (jaguarundi), 1837 nucleotides. RefSeq lists it as uncharacterized. Lineage: Eukaryota; Metazoa; Chordata; Mammalia; Carnivora; Felidae. The record is from RefSeq and is a predicted model, not a curated record. The transcript is spliced from 2 exons.
AAGGUUGAUCCUUAAAGGUUGUUUAUGGUGGUUCUCACUGCUUAUAACAGUGACGUCGUAGCCCCAAGAAAAAUAAGACACGUGCAUUCAAUUUAUUUGCCUCCUUGUUUUUGUUUUUGUUCAAGUGACCUUUAUAAGCAAUCGACCAUCGAAUGAAGUUGUUUCAGGGUAAUAUGCUUUCCUCAAAUAGUAUUUUACUUAAAAACAUCAUAUAAUUGAAUAUGAGAGUGGGGGAAGACAAGGUGGUAGAUGAGGGGUUGGUGGUUGGGUGGGUGGGAAAAGAAAAAUAAGUAAAAAAAUUAAACAAUUCAACGUUGUGUGUGUUAAAAACUAUCUGUAAAAAAAAAAAAAAAAAAAAAGUUGAGAGCCUGUCCUAUAGUGUAAGAUACUUUAUAAGGCUUUGAACACAGGGCAAAUCCUUUUUGUGAGGAAUAAUUUUUGGAGAAAAAUACCUUCUAUUUGGGCAUAUAAUAUAUACACAUGUCUCCACUCUUCUUGUUGCUAUCAGCUUCUAGCCUCCAGAAAAACGUCUCAAAUAUCCAUUGAUGUUCUAGACUCUGAGUUCCUUGAGGGCAACACUUUAAUUUUUACUAUCCUCAGAACAUGGUAUGGGGCCUAGCCUGAAGUGAGUCCUCAUUAAACAUUUGUUGAAUGAAUGAAUGGAUGAGUAAGUGAAUGAAGGCACGCACGCACGGGUCAAUGAUGGUCAGUGACUUGUCCACGAUUAGACAGCAGUUAAGUUGCAGAGCCAUGACUGGCCUCAGGUCCUCUCACCCCUGCUCCAUUUCUUAUCCCCAUCCCUCCAGGGCUGUGUUACUCCCCGUCAUGCCUGGGCCCUUUCUAUCGCCACUCCCUGGCUUCUGACCAGCUUUCACACACAGGCAGAGUCGAGCUGUGUUGGCCACUGCUGCGGCCACUCACCACCGUGUAUGUUAUGUGUUCUGAGUGCAAAACGCACACCGAUUUCAAACACUUAGUACACACAAAAAAGAAUGUAAAGUAUCCCAUUAACAAUUUAUGUAUUGAUUACAUGUAGAAAUACGAUUUUAGGCACAUUAGGUUAAAUGAAAUGUUUUAAAAUUAAUUUCACUUCUUUAUACCUUUCUAGAAAUAUGCCUACUAGAAAAGCUAUAUUUAUAUCUGUGGCUUACAUUAUAUUUCUUUUGGACAGCCCUGAUAAGGAGGAUUAAGAUUUGUCUAGGAGUUUGGAGAACACUGGCCAGGGGACAAGCUAAGGUAGGCUCUGUCUUUUUGAAGCCUAUUUACAACAACUACAGGUUGGCCUGUAGACAAGCAAGUUCGGGGAUGGAAAUCUAGAAAAGCAUGCUCCUCUGCGGGACCCUACUGUCCACUCCUACGGAAACAUGUACUGCUCGGACCCUCAGCCCACCCAUGAGUUCAAAGGGUUAAAAGGGACACACCAGCAAAUGCUCAAAUCCCUUCUACCGUGGCUCCAUUGAACAGGGCAUCUGCCUGCUACCUAAGGACAACAAGACACCCCGACCAUGGAAAGCUUCCCUACCACGUCCUGUUCUCACUCAGACAUUGAAGUCGAUCAGAGGAGAAUAGAGGCCUGAUCAAGGACCCCGGUUUCCAUCUUGUGACAGCCUGUGUGUGUUGUUUGGAGACCCGAAUGACACGAUGUGCAGGAAGGUGGAUGGCAGAACUCACAGUGCCAGGUGUGAUCACAGGAGCCAAGCGAUGAUGCUGCUGCAUGUCCUCCCACACCCUUCCAGGAUGUUCUGCCGCAAACAGUGGCUGAGAGUCCCAGCCCCGGGCCAUCACUGUCUCCUUCCUAUGGCAUUUGUGUAAGAAACACCAGACAAGUAGCGGCAUC